RNAcentral lists this ribosomal RNA (900 nucleotides) under Staphylococcus haemolyticus. Its description in RNAcentral is "bacterial SSU rRNA". It matches the Rfam family "Bacterial small subunit ribosomal RNA", at positions 180 to 1064 of the family's 1533-position model. The record is from RNAcentral. Lineage: Bacteria; Bacillati; Bacillota; Bacilli; Caryophanales; Staphylococcaceae.
UUCGAACCGCAUGGUUCGAUAGUGAAAGAUGGUUUUGCUAUCACUUAUAGAUGGACCCGCGCCGUAUUAGCUAGUUGGUAAGGUAACGGCUUACCAAGGCGACGAUACGUAGCCGACCUGAGAGGGUGAUCGGCCACACUGGAACUGAGACACGGUCCAGACUCCUACGGGAGGCAGCAGUAGGGAAUCUUCCGCAAUGGGCGAAAGCCUGACGGAGCAACGCCGCGUGAGUGAUGAAGGUCUUCGGAUCGUAAAACUCUGUUAUUAGGGAAGAACAUACGUGUAAGUAACUAUGCACGUCUUGACGGUACCUAAUCAGAAAGCCACGGCUAACUACGUGCCAGCAGCCGCGGUAAUACGUAGGUGGCAAGCGUUAUCCGGAAUUAUUGGGCGUAAAGCGCGCGUAGGCGGUUUUUUAAGUCUGAUGUGAAAGCCCACGGCUCAACCGUGGAGGGUCAUUGGAAACUGGAAAACUUGAGUGCAGAAGAGGAGAGUGGAAUUCCAUGUGUAGCGGUGAAAUGCGCAGAGAUAUGGAGGAACACCAGUGGCGAAGGCGACUUUCUGGUCUGUAACUGACGCUGAUGUGCGAAAGCGUGGGGAUCAAACAGGAUUAGAUACCCUGGUAGUCCACGCCGUAAACGAUGAGUGCUAAGUGUUAGGGGGUUUCCGCCCCUUAGUGCUGCAGCUAACGCAUUAAGCACUCCGCCUGGGGAGUACGACCGCAAGGUUGAAACUCACAGGAAUUGACGGGGACCCGCACAAGCGGUGGAGCAUGUGGUUUAAUUCGAAGCAACGCGAAGAACCUUACCAAAUCUUGACAUCCUUUGACAACUCUAGAGAUAGAGCCUUCCCCUUCGGGGGACAAAGUGACAGGUGGUGCAUGGUUGUCGUCACCUCGUG